AAAGCCUCGCCUCCCCCACUCCUGGAGCAUCUGUGGGUCUGACUCCCUGAGCCGGCGGGGCCUCCCAUGGCAGCUCCCAUGGCCCACCAGGGGUACUUUUCAUUGUGCCUUGAUCCGGAGAUGGGACCCUUAACCUGCACCACAUUCCUGAGGGCGUGCGAAGGUGGCCCCAGCACACAGACACACCGGGUGCUGUGGGCUCCAGGAGUCGGUGGCGGGGAGAGGGGACUUCGGUCACGGGGCACACUGGAUCUGGAUCCCGAGAGCGAGGAGGAUGCUUCCCGGUGGAGAAGGGCGGUCUGUCCGGUGAGGAAAUGAAGAUCCUUCCAGAUGAAGAGGGUAGUAAAGCUGGAGGCACAGCUAUAUGGAGACUUGCUGACUUCGGAUGGAAUCCUCUGGUCCCCACCCCUCUGUGUCCCUGUUCUGGAACCUUUCCCUGCUCUGAGACCUUUCCUUCCUGCUUCAGAUCCCUGGGAGGCUACUGUUUCUUUCUUUACCCCCAGUAAAGGCAUCGGGUAUCAGUCAUUCACACCUUAGUAUGAGUCAAUUUCAGUCAAUAUAUUCUCUCUCCAAAAGUAAGUGUCCUUCACUCUGUCUCAGAUUGUAGAGAGAGUCCUCUGCAAGAGGUCUGUCUGGUAUCAAACAACAGCUCAGAAUGUACCCUUGGAUAUAAAGGGGAUCUGCUUACCAGC
This 692-nucleotide long non-coding RNA is filed under the name Zalophus californianus (California sea lion). Its description in RNAcentral is "lncRNA (ENSZCAG00015011838.1)". The record is from RNAcentral. Lineage: Eukaryota; Metazoa; Chordata; Mammalia; Carnivora; Otariidae.